ACGGAGGGUGCGAGCGUUGUUCGGAAUUAUUGGGCGUAAAGCGCGUGCAGGCGGUCUUUUAAGUCUGAUGUGAAAGCCCCGGGCUCAACCUGGGAAGGGCAUUGGAAACUGGGAGACUUGAAUACGGGAGAGGGUAGUGGAAUGCCUAGUGUAGGAGUGAAAUCCGUAGAUACUAGGAGGAACACCGGUGGCGAAGGCGGCUCCCUGGACCGAUAUCGACGCUGAGACGCGAAAGCGUGGGGAGCAAACAG
This 251-nucleotide ribosomal RNA is filed under the name uncultured prokaryote. RNAcentral's name for it is "partial 16S rRNA". It matches the Rfam family "Bacterial small subunit ribosomal RNA", at positions 525 to 775 of the family's 1533-position model. The record is from RNAcentral.